RNAcentral lists this ribosomal RNA (433 nucleotides) under uncultured bacterium. RNAcentral's name for it is "partial 16S ribosomal RNA". It matches the Rfam family "Bacterial small subunit ribosomal RNA", at positions 28 to 507 of the family's 1533-position model. The record is from RNAcentral.
AACGAACGCUGGCGGCAGGCUUAACACAUGCAAGUCGAGCGAGACCUCCGGGCCUAGCGGCGGACGGGGGAGUACCGCGUGGGAACGUGCCCUUCUCUACGGAAUACCCCCGGGAAACUGGGCUUAAUACCGAUUACGCCCUUAGGGGGAAGGAUUUAUGGGAGAAGGGUCGGCCCGAGUUGGUUUCGGUGGUUGGUGGGGUAAUGGCCCACCAAGCCGUGGAUCCUUAGCUGGUUGGGGAGGAUGAGCCGCAGCGCUGGAGCUAAGACCCGGCCCAGACUCCUACGAAAGGGAGCGGAGGGUAAUCUUAGACAAGGGCGGCAGUCCUAAUGAGGCCAUGCGCGGGAAGUGAGGAUGGCCUUAGGGUUGUAAAGCUCUUUCAGCUGGGAAGAUAAUGACGGUACCAGCAGAAGAAGCCCCGGCUAACUCCGUG